CUGAAGCUUUCCAUGUUGUCAUAGCUGAACGGGUUCAACCAUCGCCAGUGAACUGUCAGUGAGUUGGAGAACAUUUCAACUAUCACUUGGAAUCUGAAGAAUUCUUUGCGUGACAGUGAUAAGUGCGUUUCAAAAGAACAAACGCUCCCUCUGGUGAUAUGGGUGUAAAAAUGCUGCAGUGCUUUCCUUUCUACAGACGCUGCAAGGAGAGGUGCAAAAGACAGUGCCCUCCUGAGACGACAGUAGCAAGUGAAGAGGUGAAACCUCGGCUGUGUUCCACUACCUCCUGGGGCAGUGAAGGGGACAGCGGCAGCAGUCUGAGUUGCCCACAGGCCUAUUUUUCCUACAAGGCUCGGCUCUCACUGAGACACCAGAUGGAUAGCAACAUCAAUGCAGUGGAUGCCACAUACUAACUUUAUUCUGCAGGUGGUCUCUGGAGAAUCCUUGAAAGUAAACUUAAUAUUUACAGCCCCAGUCCAGUUUAAGUCCCUUAUUGGAGAGAUUUUGCGGGGAACUGGAGAAUGAGCCAUUUGGAACAAGCAGCAUGGAUGUUUGCCUCUCCUUGCAUGCCCAUGGACACUCAUGAGUGUCAGCUGUAUGCAUUGCAAUAACAAUGUCAAGAUAAGUGUCUGAAUUUCAGUACAGCAAUGAGUGUAAAAUGGUACAGCUGAGUGUAAUUUGGUGAAAGGGAUAUUUUGAAACACUCUUAAAAGUGAUGUUUACAUGAUAACCAGUAAGUGCUUUUUUCUAGCCUGUAGCAUUUGCCCUCCACAGCCUCUGCUAUACAUGCAUCUACAUGAUCUCAACUGGAUGCUGGUUUUAUCUGAGGAGACACUGACAUCUUAAUGCAAUUGAGUUUUUUGAGCCAGGUAUAAAUUCAUUCAGUACACUCUAAAAAAUGCUGGGUUAAAAAGGGACAAACAAACCCAGCGGUUGGGUUCAAAACAACCCAAUAGCUGGGUUUGUCCCUUUUUAACCCAGCGCUGGGUUAUAUUUAACCCAGCAUUUUUUUAGAGUGUAGGAUUUUUGAUGAAUAGCAGUCUACCUAAUAAAAUCAACCACGCUUUGCCUUGCAGGUCAUAAAUUCAGUGUGUACUGUGAAGCAACGGAAUGUUUUUCUUUCUUUCAAAUGAACAGAAAGGAAGUUUUUAAAGCUUAUUUUGCUUUGUAUGUAAGUGCCAUUUUCUCUGCCUUGCAGCUGCAUCAAGGUCCAUUAACAUAAAGUCCAUAACACAGCUCUAACGUUAAUUUCAUUUUUAUUAUGUACAUUUUUCAGGGCUUUUUGAAAUAUGCCCUGACCAUAAACUAAUUUUGCCUGAGGGGUGUGUUUGGAACAAUUCUAAAAAAUAUGUUUUUUUCAUGGACUUUAUGUAAGUUAAAUUUGACCAACUAAUAUAUUAAUAUGAAGAUGGCCCAGUUUCUAAAUCUUUGUAAGGUUUUCUUCUUAUUGCAUGUAUAAAACUAGUAAAAAGAAUGGAGAUGUUUGUCAUGAUCCACUCAUGUUCCGACAUGUUUGAAAAAAAAAAAAAACAGGUUUUACAUGCUAAUGAUGUGUAUCUGGACUCCUUCACGUUGUUGUGUGCACAUGUAUUAACAUUAGUUUUUUUAAAUGUUAAAAGUGGAUUUUUACACUAACCCAGCAAAAGAACAGAAUUCACAAGCCACUGUUACACCUUUGAAGUCACAAUAUGCAAGAGAAGAUAUUUUUGGUAUAUUUUGUAUGCAAUGUGUAAAUCAAUUUUAUGUAAAAAAAACAAUUGUAAUAAGUAAAAAGACAGUGAACUAAAUUAUAAUAGAAUUAAAACAGCACAUGUCUUGUUGCUUUCACUGAUGAUUG
Sinocyclocheilus anshuiensis is the source of this 1837-nucleotide long non-coding RNA. The record is from Ensembl. NCBI's taxonomy places the organism in Eukaryota, Metazoa, Chordata, Actinopteri, Cypriniformes, Cyprinidae.